UACAGAGGGUGCGAGCGUUGUCCGGAAUCACUGGGCGUAAAGGGCGCGUAGGCGGCCUGAUAAGUAGGGGGUGAAAUCCUGUGGCUCAACUGCAGGCUGCCUCCUAGACUGUCGGGCUUGAGCACGGUAGAGGCAGAUGGAAUUCCCGGUGUAGCGGUGGAAUGCGUAGAGAUCGGGAAGAACAUCGGUGGCGAAGGCGGUCUGCUGGGCCGGUUGCUGACGC
RNAcentral lists this ribosomal RNA (223 nucleotides) under uncultured bacterium. RNAcentral describes it as "partial 16S ribosomal RNA". It matches the Rfam family "Bacterial small subunit ribosomal RNA", at positions 524 to 746 of the family's 1533-position model. The record is from RNAcentral.